This 775-nucleotide ribosomal RNA is filed under the name Staphylococcus aureus. Its description in RNAcentral is "partial 23S ribosomal RNA". It matches the Rfam family "Bacterial large subunit ribosomal RNA", at positions 673 to 1452 of the family's 2925-position model. Lineage: Bacteria; Bacillati; Bacillota; Bacilli; Caryophanales; Staphylococcaceae. The record is from RNAcentral.
GAAAGCGAGUCUGAAUAGGGCGUUUAGUAUUUGGUCGUAGACCCGAAACCAGGUGAUCUACCCUUGGUCAGGUUGAAGUUCAGGUAACACUGAAUGGAGGACCGAACCGACUUACGUUGAAAAGUGAGCGGAUGAACUGAGGGUAGCGGAGAAAUUCCAAUCGAACCUGGAGAUAGCUGGUUCUCUCCGAAAUAGCUUUAGGGCUAGCCUCAAGUGAUGAUUAUUGGAGGUAGAGCACUGUUUGGACGAGGGGCCCCUCUCGGGUUACCGAAUUCAGACAAACUCCGAAUGCCAAUUAAUUUAACUUGGGAGUCAGAACAUGGGUGAUAAGGUCCGUGUUCGAAAGGGAAACAGCCCAGACCACCAGCUAAGGUCCCAAAAUAUAUGUUAAGUGGAAAAGGAUGUGGCGUUGCCCAGACAACUAGGAUGUUGGCUUAGAAGCAGCCAUCAUUUAAAGAGUGCGUAAUAGCUCACUAGUCGAGUGACACUGCGCCGAAAAUGUACCGGGGCUAAACAUAUUACCGAAGCUGUGGAUUGUCCUUUGGACAAUGGUAGGAGAGCGUUCUAAGGGCGUUGAAGCAUGAUCGUAAGGACAUGUGGAGCGCUUAGAAGUGAGAAUGCCGGUGUGAGUAGCGAAAGACGGGUGAGAAUCCCGUCCACCGAUUGACUAAGGUUUCCAGAGGAAGGCUCGUCCGCUCUGGGUUAGUCGGGUCCUAAGCUGAGGCCGACAGGCGUAGGCGAUGGAUAACAGGUUGAUAUUCCUGUACCACCUAUA